CUCUUUACAAAUUUCAACUAUUCUUCUGCUCAUAGAAAAGAUAAUGAGAGAGAGACAUCACCGUCGUCACCAUCUCUCGGUCAAGUUUCUCUCUUUCUUCCUUCACUCCUACUCAUGAGUCAGUCAGGAUCAUGCUCUGCUCGAACAAUCAUUCAGUUAUUUUCCCCGGAGGACUGAAGAUACUGUUUCAGAAACACGACGAUCCAACUCUGAUUUUAAAACCGAACUCCGAGGUUUUGUUUGACAUCAAAAGACGUCGAAUCUUCAAUGCUCUGGUUUAGGAGGUAUGGUGACAGACACGAUGGUGGAGGAGAUUGGAUUGGAUUCUCAUAUUCAGCCCAACAAAAAGCCCAUUCACCUACCCAUUAAGAAACAGGUCAAUUUCUAUCCCUUCAUAAUUUUUUAAU
Molecule: unclassified non-coding RNA, 407 nt
Filed under: Arabidopsis thaliana (thale cress)
Lineage: Eukaryota; Viridiplantae; Streptophyta; Magnoliopsida; Brassicales; Brassicaceae
Source: RNAcentral